Long non-coding RNA from Osmerus eperlanus (European smelt), 989 nucleotides. RefSeq lists it as uncharacterized. The transcript is spliced from 2 exons. NCBI's taxonomy places the organism in Eukaryota, Metazoa, Chordata, Actinopteri, Osmeriformes, Osmeridae. The record is from RefSeq and is a predicted model, not a curated record.
AGGGGGGCGGUGAGCAAGGAAACCAAGAAGGGACAUAAGUUAGAGAGGCAGCAAGAACGAAGAAUAGAAGCAGGGUUGAAAUGUGAGAAGAUCAAUUAUUAUCUCAGUAUUUCUAGACCAUGUGACAAAGAGUUUGGUACAUUUUAAUUUAUCCACAAGUUUAUUAGACUAUUGUGUUGCGAAACUAUGUUUGUUCCGGCCUCAGAGCAGGAAAUUGUCUUCUCCAAUAUCUCUGUGCUUAUUGACAAUCAAUAAUGUUGUUCUUUAUAUCACAUUGAACAUCAUUUUUCGCUUUUUAUAUCAAACUUCAACACCAUUCUGUUUUUUGAUGUUGUUCCAUGUCAGUUUGCCAGCACCUUAUCCUAAAGGUGAAAGUUGAAGCUGGCAGUAAUAUUUGAAGCAAUUACAAAUGUGUUAUUCAGACAUGCUAUUGUUUUAGCUCGCUCCCAGACUGAGCUGCAAAGUUACUUAUUUGCUUUAAAAAAUCAUUAUUUCCAAUAAUUUGAUCAUCCUCAGAGCAGGAAAUCACCUCACCUGUUCACAUUCACAUGGGUGGUCUACUCCAGCAUGUGUGUGAUGUUUGUUCAGGAUUAGGUGGGCUCCCUGUUUGAGUGAUGACUGACAAUCUUUGACUGCCUUGAUAUCCUUAGAUCUGAUUCAUGUUGGGACUUUCUUACUUAUGAACCUUUUUUGUAGUUUUACUGUGGGGAGUUUGUCAUGGCCUUGGUUCUCCUUAAUGUAUAAUACAAUUCUGUUACUCUUGAAUAUAUAUUUAUACAGAUAUACAUAUUUUUUGUAUCUUUAUUCUUUUUCAUUUCUUUGACCUAAUGUUCAAACCUCUGUGUCUACUCAGUAUUAUAGGCAGCAUCAUUUGACAACAUAUAUCUCUUUUUUACAUUUUAUGUAUGAACUGAGAAUUUGUAAAGAUUCCUUCACUGUCCUCACAUGUAAAAUAUAUGUAUAAAUUAAAUUAAACUUUGACUAGUGUU